AAAUAGUGGAGACCAGCAACCACCUUAAAACGGGGCGAAGCCGAAAAGCCAAACGAGUAGGAAAAAC
Molecule: non-coding RNA, 67 nt
Organism: Spirosoma linguale DSM 74
Lineage: Bacteria; Pseudomonadati; Bacteroidota; Cytophagia; Cytophagales; Cytophagaceae
Source: Rfam